This 238-nucleotide unclassified non-coding RNA is filed under the name Hevea brasiliensis (rubber tree). The record is from RNAcentral. Lineage: Eukaryota; Viridiplantae; Streptophyta; Magnoliopsida; Malpighiales; Euphorbiaceae.
CUCUCCAUCUAUAGUCUUGCUUACUUUUCUCACCUAGAUUCACCUUUGCUGACAUCAGUAACUUUAUGUUGCCUCCGUCCUGACUUGGAUGAAUAUGUCUUGUUUCUGAUCAUAGAACAUUUGCAUUCAAUAUUUAGACGCGGCAAAAUUGAGAUACAGGACCACCUUAGCUUCUUUGUCACGCUGGUCAUCCGUUUCAAUGUUUUUCCAGAAAAUAUUCGCUCUGCAAUUGAGGAAG